GAAGGGUUGAGUACAUGGUAUGUAAGUUGCAUUCAGGAAAGAACGAGUUCAAAUCUUUGAAGGCAAUUUUUGGGGUGUCUACAUUUUUAUAGACGAUUAGAUACAUCUACAAUCUUAUCCUGCACCCUACGUGCUAGAUCCCCUUUCCCAGCUCCCUUCAGAACUCGUCUCCGCAGUGCACCGUCGCUGGCGAUUUCCGGCGACGACACCUUUUUUUUUUUUCGAUUCUUCUUCUCUUUCCUCUUCUCCGUUGUUUACUCUUCCACCCUAUCUACAGCUUCCAGUGACACCGAGGAAGGAGAAAGUCAAGGAGAAGAACGACACAGACGAAGAAGCCAUUGAUGCUGAGAAUCACCGCGAUUCUCGACGAGGAUCGAAUCUCAUACACCACGCACAACCGAAAUCCCCUUCCCACUCGCGUCUCUUGUCCGCCUUCUCCAAAACUGUAACUUCUCUCUUCGACUUCCCGCGGCACCUCCCCCUCGCCGACAGAAUCGUCUUCGUCGUCUCAUGAGCGUGCCAUGCGCCUCAAUUUCUUGUACAUCACCCCCGCUGUCACCGUCCAGACCCAAUUUUCCGACCAAGUUCAUUUUACCGGAAAAUCUUCUAUGUAGACUAUCGUGUUUUUUCCUUUGCAAUUGGGCGCUUUAAAAAAGGGGGUUUUCCAGUGUGGAGCAUCAUCACUGAAAAAUUGUAGCACCAUCGCCGAUUCAUAAAACAGAAGAGGAAUGUAACUGAGAAGUUCUGGAUCCUUCGCGAGAAAGGAAAACGAUUAAAUUCUCAUUCUUUUUCUUAAUUUUUCCAAUUAUUUGCUUUCUCUGCUCUAGCAUUUGAUUCUAUUAUAUUGUGAAUUGUUCUUUGCUACUUCAAUUAUUUGUCCGGAAUGGAGAUUGAGGUUUUUGGGCUUGAAUGAAAGUGCAAGAUUUUUUUAACAAGUUUUAAAGUGUAAAGGUGGAGUUUUUUAAACACAGCAUCACCUGGGUGAUAUUCUCUGUUGAUGCAAAGGAAAAGCAGAAAAGUGGGAGAGGAGGGUCGUCGCCGUUGAAAACCGCUCUGGCAACGGUGAGUGACGAUAAUUUCCUUUUUGCUGGCAGGAAGCAGGGUGAACGGUGGAGAGGGGAAAAAUAAAAAGAAAAAGAAAAGGAAAAAAAUUAGUGCAGUGGGUCCACCUUAUUUCUGUGGGAAUGAGAUGAACCUAGAGUAAAUAAAGCUGGUCCACCAAAAGAUCACUUGUAUAAGUGCCUCACGCUAGGCGGUCAUUUUUGGGAGGGCCUCCUAGUCACAAUAGUUCCCAAUGUGUUUGUCUCACAAUAGAA
RNAcentral lists this long non-coding RNA (1316 nucleotides) under Glycine max (soybean). RNAcentral describes it as "long non-coding RNA (GMAX_LNC002197)". The record is from RNAcentral. Lineage: Eukaryota; Viridiplantae; Streptophyta; Magnoliopsida; Fabales; Fabaceae.